GACGAACGCUGGCGGCGUGCUUAACACAUGUAAGUCGAACGAUGAAGCCUAGCUUGCUAGGUGGAUUAGUGGCGAACGGGUGAGUAAUACGUGAGUAACCUACCUUUAACUCUGGGAUAAGCCUGGGAAACUGGGUCUAAUACCGGAUACGACCAAUCUCCGCAUGGGGUGUUGGUGGAAAGCGUUAUGUAGUGGUUAUAGAUGGGCUCACGGCCUAUCAGCUUGUUGGUGAGGUAACGGCUCACCAAGGCGACGACGGGUAGCCGGCCUGAGAGGGUGACCGGCCACACUGGGACUGAGACACGGCCCAGACUCCUACGGGAGGCAGCAGUGGGGAAUAUUGCACAAUGGGCGCAAGCCUGAUGCAGCGACGCCGCGUGAGGGAUGACGGCCUUCGGGUUGUAAACCUCUGUUAGCAGGGAAGAAGAGAGAUUGACGGUACCUGCAGAGAAAGCGCCGGCUAACUACGUGCCAGCAGCCGCGGUAAUACGUAGGGCGCGAGCGUUGUCCGGAAUUAUUGGGCGUAAAGAGCUUGUAGGCGGCUUGUCGCGUCUGCUGUGAAAGGCCGGGGCUUAACUCCGUGUAUUGCAGUGGGUACGGGCAGACUAGAGUGCAGUAGGGGAGACUGGAAUUCCUGGUGUAGCGGUGGAAUGCGCAGAUAUCAGGAGGAACACCGAUGGCGAAGGCAGGUCUCUGGGCUGUAACUGACGCUGAGAAGCGAAAGCAUGGGGAGCGAACAGG
Molecule: ribosomal RNA, 741 nt
Filed under: Rothia mucilaginosa
Lineage: Bacteria; Bacillati; Actinomycetota; Actinomycetes; Micrococcales; Micrococcaceae
Description: bacterial SSU rRNA
Rfam family: Bacterial small subunit ribosomal RNA
Source: RNAcentral